Mus pahari (shrew mouse) is the source of this 627-nucleotide long non-coding RNA. RefSeq lists it as uncharacterized. The transcript is spliced from 4 exons. NCBI's taxonomy places the organism in Eukaryota, Metazoa, Chordata, Mammalia, Rodentia, Muridae. The record is from RefSeq and is a predicted model, not a curated record.
UGUCCCGGGCACCCGGAGCCACCGAGGCUGCCCCCAGCCCAGUCCGAAGCUGGCCUGUCUCCCAGCCCAGUUUCCCUCCCUGAGCUUUAGGACGCGUCCCACCCGGGGCUUGGAAGCCCACAACCCUGCGGCAGCGAAAAGCAAAGGGCGGGAGGAGAGCUACAAAGGAGGACGGUGGCCGCAGCCAGAGCCAGCCCCCAGCCGUGGGUAACCUUGGAGGCGCCCUCGACAGACAUUAAAAUAACAGCUUGGUCUCGGCCAGCAAGUGAGCAAAGGUUAUCCCAACUACCACAGCACCUGCAAAAGCACAAGUGGAACUCACACAUUUUGCUUCCCAUGUUCUAAAAUGGAUUCUGAGCCAUCCAGAGAAAUCAGCACAUAGAAGGAGGGGAACCUGACAACAGAGGUGUACAUAUUAAAAAUUACACAGGCGAGCUCAUUUUCACUGAUGAUCCAGAGAAGAGUAUUUUAUUGAAAGACCUUGUAGCAUAAUCUAAGGUCAGCAAAUGAAGUUUUUGGCUACCAACAUAAAAGAAUUUUAAAAAUCAGUUCCCUGUAGGGAAAAUAACGUUUCAAAAUAAAAGGAUGAAAAUAGCACGCAUUUUUUUUAAAGCAGAAAAUAUUAUA